Chlorocebus sabaeus (green monkey) is the source of this 47-nucleotide non-coding RNA. Lineage: Eukaryota; Metazoa; Chordata; Mammalia; Primates; Cercopithecidae. The record is from Rfam.
CUAUAGGUUUUAUUCAAAACCAUAAAAUUUUGAAUGCCUUUUAAAAU